AUUGAACGCUGGCGGAAUGCUUUACACAUGCAAGUCGAACGGUAGAGGGGGCAACCCCUUGAGAGUGGCGAACGGGUGAGUAAUAUAUCGGAACGUGCCCAGUCGUGGGGGAUAACGUAGCGAAAGUUACGCUAAUACCGCAUACGAUCUACGGAUGAAAGCGGGGGACUCGCAAGAGCCUCGCGCGAACGGAGCGGCCGAUGGCAGAUUAGGUAGUUGGUGGGAUAAAAGCUUACCAAGCCGACGAUCUGUAGCUGGUCUGAGAGGACGACCAGCCACACUGGGACUGAGACACGGCCCAGACUCCUACGGGAGGCAGCAGUGGGGAAUUUUGGACAAUGGGCGAAAGCCUGAUCCAGCCAUGCCGCGUGCAGGAUGAAGGCCUUCGGGUUGUAAACUGCUUUUGUACGGAACGAAAGGUUUCCAUUAAUACUGGGAGCUCAUGACGGUACCGUAAGAAUAAGCACCGGCUAACUACGUGCCAGCAGCCG
RNAcentral lists this ribosomal RNA (491 nucleotides) under uncultured bacterium. RNAcentral describes it as "bacterial SSU rRNA". It matches the Rfam family "Bacterial small subunit ribosomal RNA", at positions 30 to 517 of the family's 1533-position model. The record is from RNAcentral.